CUUGAUGGAGCGAUGCCUGUGGAUGAUGAAGGCCUUUUUGGACCCUAUAAGUUCUUUUAGGGGGGAAGACCAUGACGGUACCCCCUGAAUAAGUGACAGCAAACUAUGUGCCAGCAGCUGCGGUAAUACAUAGGUCGCGAGCGUUAUUCGGAUUUAUUGGGCGUAAAGCAAGCGCAGGCGGAUGAAUAAGUUCUGUGUUAAAAGCAGCUGCUCAACAGUUGUUUGCGCCGAAUACUGUUCAUCUAGAAUACGGUAAGCGGUUUUGGAAUUGAAUAUGGAGCGGUGGAAUGUGUAGAUAUAUUCAAGAACACCAGAGGCGAAGGCGAAAACCGGGGCCGAUAUUGACGCUUAGGCUUGAAAGUGUGGGGACAAAUGGGAUUAGAUACCCCAGUAGUCCACACCGUAAACGAUGGAUAUUAGAUGUUGGGGCUUGUGCCUCAGCGUUGGAGCUUACGUAUUAAAUAUCCCGCCUGGGUAGUACAUAUGCAAAUAUGAAACUCAAAGGAAUUGACGGGGACCUGAACAAGUGGUGGAACAUGUUGCUUAAUUCGAUAAUACACGAAAAACCUUACCAAGAUUUGACAUCCCCCGCGAAGCCACAGAAAUGUGGUCAUAGGUUAUCGGGGUGACAGGUGGUGCAUGGUUGUCGUCAGCUCGUGUCAUGAGAUGUUUGGUUAAGUCCCGCAACGAGCGCAACCCUACUCUUUAGUUAGUUGUCUAGAGAGACUGAACAGUAAUGUAUAGGAAGGUUGGGAUCACGUCAAAUCAUCAUGCCCCUUAUGUCUUGGGCCGCAAACGUGUUACAAUGGCGAGUACAGCGAGAAGCAAGUCGGCGACGGCAAGCUAAUCACUAAAAACUCGUC
This 863-nucleotide ribosomal RNA is filed under the name uncultured Mycoplasma sp. Its description in RNAcentral is "bacterial SSU rRNA". It matches the Rfam family "Bacterial small subunit ribosomal RNA", at positions 382 to 1287 of the family's 1533-position model. The record is from RNAcentral. Lineage: Bacteria; Bacillati; Mycoplasmatota; Mollicutes; Mycoplasmatales; Mycoplasmataceae.